AUAAGAGGUCCAGCCUGCCCAGUGACAUUGUUUAACGGCCGCGGUAUCCUAACCGUGCGAAGGUAGCGUAAUCACUUGUCCUUUAAAUGAGGACUAGUAUGAAUGGCAUCACGAGGGUUAUUCUGUCUCCUUUCUCUAAUCAGUAAAACUAAUCUCCCCGUGAAGAAGCGGGGAUAUAUAUAUAAGACGAGAAGACCCUAUGGAGCUUUAAACAAAACAACAUUUGUUAAUUCUACCCCUAAAUUUCAGAAAAAUAAUUUUUAUUUUAACAUUGUGUUUGUUAGUUUUAGGUUGGGGUGACCGCGGAGAAAAAAGUAACCUCCACAUUGAAGGGGGCUUCCCCUAAACAGAAAGUCACAACUUUAAGUAUCAACAAAUUGACAUCAAUUGACCCAAUAUUUUGAUCAACGAAACAAGUUACCCUAGGGAUAACAGCGCAAUCCACUUCGAGAGUCCCUAUCGACAGGUGGGUUUACGACCUCGAUGUUGGAUCAGGG
Molecule: ribosomal RNA, 497 nt
Filed under: Gastrotheca sp. E DCB-2013
Lineage: Eukaryota; Metazoa; Chordata; Amphibia; Anura; Hemiphractidae
Description: partial 16S ribosomal RNA
Rfam family: Bacterial large subunit ribosomal RNA
Source: RNAcentral